UCAGAUCAGACAAUGGAACUAAUUAAAGAACCACCUGUAGCACUUUUCUAGACACCAAUUGAUCAAUUGAUCAAGAACUGGUUAACUCCUAGUUGCAUAUCACUACAACUUAAUAUAAUUUUUAAUGAAGAUUUUUAUUUGAUCUCAUGCACAUUCUAACUAUAUAAUGCUAAUUUAUACUAAUAUAUAUUAGCAUUAAAAUACUCUAUAUGUGCAAGUGUAAUAUAUAGACUUUCAUC
RNAcentral lists this long non-coding RNA (239 nucleotides) under Elaeis guineensis (African oil palm). Its description in RNAcentral is "long non-coding RNA (EGUI_LNC032214)". The record is from RNAcentral. Lineage: Eukaryota; Viridiplantae; Streptophyta; Magnoliopsida; Arecales; Arecaceae.